GUCUCAGUGCAAGCCAAAUUAAGGUGAAACCGCGAAUGGCUCAUUAAAUCAGUUAUGGUUCCUUAGAUCGUACCACAUUACUUGGAUAACUGUGGUAAUUCUAGAGCUAAUACAUGCAAACAGAGUCCCGACCAGAAAUGGAAGGGACGCUUUUAUUAGAUCAAAACCAAUCGGUCGGCUUGUCCGGUCCGUUUGCCUUGGUGACUCUGAAUAACUUUGGGCUGAUCGCACGGUCCUAGAACCGGCGACGCAUCUUUCAAAUGUCUGCCUUAUCAACUGUCGAUGGUAGGUUCUGCGCCUACCAUGGUUGUAACGGGUAACGGGGAAUCAGGGUUCGAUUCCGGAGAGGGAGCCUGAGAAACGGCUACCACAUCCAAGGAAGGCAGCAGGCGCGCAAAUUACCCACUCCCGGCACGGGGAGGUAGUGACGAAAAAUAACGAUACGGGACUCAUCCGAGGCCCCGUAAUCGGAAUGAGUACACUUUAAAUCCUUUAACGAGUAUCCAUUGGAGGGCAAGUCUGGUGCCAGCAGCCGCGGUAAUUCCAGCUCCAAUAGCGUAUAUUAAAGUUGUUGCGGUUAAAAAGCUCGUAGUUGGACUUGUGUCCCACGCUGUCGGUUCAUCGCUCGUCGGUGUCUAACUGGCAUGUAUCGUGGGACGUCCUGCCGGUGGUGGCGAGUCGAAGGCGCGCUCCCGUUGCGGUCCUCCGCAUCGGUUCUUGCGCGCCCAGACGGACCCCGAUCAAAUCCUACCGCGGUGCUCUUCAUUGAGUGUCGAGGUGGGCCGGCACGUUUACUUUGAACAAAUUAGAGUGCUUAAAGCAGGCCUGUUGCGCCUGAAUACUGUGUGCAUGGAAUAAUGGAAUAGGACCUCGGUUCUAUUUUGUUGGUUUUCGGAACCCGAGGUAAUGAUUAAUAGGGACAGGCGGGGGCAUUCGUAUUGCGACGUUAGAGGUGAAAUUCUUGG
Molecule: ribosomal RNA, 965 nt
Filed under: Conocephalus chinensis
Lineage: Eukaryota; Metazoa; Arthropoda; Insecta; Orthoptera; Tettigoniidae
Description: SSU rRNA
Rfam family: Eukaryotic small subunit ribosomal RNA
Source: RNAcentral